AGGUGCGGAGGGUGGGCGGCUCUCCGAACUGGGGGAUUGCGGAGAGGGUUUCCGGGUCGCAUCCCAGUGAGAAGUGAACGUAGCAGCGCGUUUGAAAAGUGGUCUACGCUUCCGACGGGGGUCUGCGCUUGCACCGCCCGGGAGAGGACCCUGGAUGUGGGAUGUGCGAACGCCUAGAGUGGGUGUCCGCCGCCGUCCUUGAACGACAAUGAAGUGAGCCAACCCUGGGACUUUUAGACGGGAAGGUCCUACCUAGCAGGACAGAAAGCAUGCCUGGGGACAUUGCAGUGGAAUCCAUCUUUUCACUGGUACAAAUACUGCUACAAUGGCCAUCCUUGCAUGUAUCCUUUGUGCCCAGAGCACUGAUCAAUCAAUCAAUCAAUCAGUCAGUCAACAAAUGAAUGCCUCUGGCUGAGAGGAGAAGAGGAAGAUGAAGAGGGGAGAGGAGACGAUUCC
This is a long non-coding RNA of Nyctereutes procyonoides (raccoon dog), 456 nucleotides long. RefSeq lists it as uncharacterized. Lineage: Eukaryota; Metazoa; Chordata; Mammalia; Carnivora; Canidae. The record is from RefSeq and is a predicted model, not a curated record. The transcript is spliced from 4 exons.